This 42-nucleotide non-coding RNA is filed under the name Trichobilharzia regenti. Lineage: Eukaryota; Metazoa; Platyhelminthes; Trematoda; Strigeidida; Schistosomatidae. The record is from RNAcentral.
AAAAUGAUGAGUCCCAAAUAGGACGAAAUGCGCAUCCUGGAU